AGAAUGAACGUUGGCGGCGUGGAUUAGGCAUGCAAGUCGCACGGGCCGCAAGGCCAGUGGCGCAAGGGUGAGUAAGGCGACGGCAACCAACCCCGUGAUCGAGUAUAGCCGCGGGAAACCGCGGGUAACCCUCGGCGACGUCGAAGAGAGGCAUCUCUUUUCGACCAAAGCUCCGGCGUCGCGGGACGGCCGUCGUGCUAUUAGCUGGUUGGCGGGUAACGGCCCACAGGC
RNAcentral lists this ribosomal RNA (231 nucleotides) under uncultured bacterium. RNAcentral describes it as "partial small subunit ribosomal RNA". It matches the Rfam family "Bacterial small subunit ribosomal RNA", at positions 26 to 274 of the family's 1533-position model. The record is from RNAcentral.